RNAcentral lists this unclassified non-coding RNA (1430 nucleotides) under Hevea brasiliensis (rubber tree). Lineage: Eukaryota; Viridiplantae; Streptophyta; Magnoliopsida; Malpighiales; Euphorbiaceae. The record is from RNAcentral.
UAUUUUAAUAUUGCUGAUAUUGAUGUUUUGCUAUGGUAAAACUUGAGGGUUGCAUGGAUGCAAAAAUCCAACUUCUUUUCCUCUAUUCAAAUUUCACGCUUUAAGCAAGAACUAACCAAUAAUUUGAGUAAUUGAAUCCUAGAAUUUGUUAUUUGAUUGAACUAUUUAAUUUUAUUUUAAUUACAAUGGUGUUGCAAUUUGUAUUAUUUUAUAAUUAGUUGUAAGUUAUAAGCUAAUUGUUUUUUUCUUCUUAUUUUACGUUCUUAAUGACUAUGGCCUUGUCUAAUGAUAUUUUCUAGAAAUAUUGUGAUUUACAAUAGAUAUUUAAAAGUUAAUCUCAAGCUCAAGGUCAAGCUUAUUGAGCUCAAAUUUGAGUUCAUGUUAAUGAGCUUAUCAAGCUUGAGCUAUGCUCAUUAAUAUAAUAAACAAAUUUAAAACAAGCCGAGCUUAAGCUUUAAUAUUAAAGUUUGAAUCUAUCUCGAGCCUGAUAUAUUAUUGAAGAGCCAAGUUGAGCUAGCCGUGGCUUGGCUUGGCUUAGCUUGUUUACACUGCCAGCUAGGCUCUUCUCCUCCUCUGUCAUGACCUCCUCUCCAUUGGCCUUUUCUCCUUGCACUGCUAACUUUUUUUACCAUAUCAUUCUUUUUGGCUAAUGGGUUUUAUCUUACAUUAAUUUUUUGUCUAAAUUUUCAAUUUUAGAUUUGGUUAUUUUGAUCCUGUCCCUUUCUUUUCCCUGUUCUUGUCUACCCUUUUGUACUACCCCUUGCAUUGAAACCCUAAUUUUUGCAUAUGUCUUCAUCUCCUAGUAGUUGCUUCCAUUCCAAAUUUGAUUUAUUCAUUGUUUGUGAAAUGUUUUGAAUUUGAUUUCCAAAUUUUGUUUUUGGGGUUCAUUUCUAAGAAAAACUUUCUUAAUUUUUUGAUCAUCAAUGUUUAAAUAAAUGGUCAUUAACAAUAUAAACAUGUCUAGAUUCCUGUGAUUCCUGCAUAGCUUCUAAUUUGAACUCUCUUAAUCACUGUUUCUCUCCAUUUUCUUUUAACUAAUGCAAAGAAAGCGUGGGCAAAGAUGUCAAGUAGAAAGAAUGGUUUCAAAUAAUAGCCGUUACAUAAAUAACAGCUAUUAUUUAUAAGUUUUGGAAUGGCCCAUUACACGAUACAUCAUUAUUUAUAGGCAAAUCUGGAGUUGUAGGUGUAACGGCGGUUACAAUCGUUACGUAAUAGUAACGGCCAUUAUUUGCCAUUGCAUAACAGUGUUAUUUUGUUUCUCUUUUCUUUGUUUGCAUAUUUUCUCUUUCACAGCAACUAUAUCUCAUAUUCUCUCAAAUUUUUACCUAAAUUUCUCCUUUCUUCUACAUAUUCUCUCCCUUAUUGUUUACUAAGCUAAAAUCAUCAUUAAAUAUCUCUAUUAUAGCGAUAAAUUGUUUAAUGCUAAUGAU